UACGUAGGGUGCAAGCGUUAAUCGGAAUUACUGGGCGUAAAGCGUGCGCAGGCGGUCUUGCAAGACAGGUGUGAAAUCCCCGGGCUUAACCUGGGAAUGGCGUUUGAAACUGGCUAUCUAGAGUGCGUCAGAGGGGGGUGGAAUUCCACGUGUAGCAGUGAAAUGCGUAGAGAUGUGGAGGAACACCGAUGGCGAAGGCAGCCCCCUGGGAUGACACUGACGCUCAUGCACGAAAGCGUGGGGAGCAAACAGG
Molecule: ribosomal RNA, 253 nt
Filed under: uncultured bacterium
Lineage: Bacteria
Description: partial 16S ribosomal RNA
Rfam family: Bacterial small subunit ribosomal RNA
Source: RNAcentral